AGGUCAUAAAUCUCACUGAAUGAGGCUUGCUUGCUUCUCUGACACCUGGUUCUCUCCUCCUGUCCAGAAUGGUGUGUCUGAGGCUGCCUUGAGGCUCCUUCAUGGCAGCGCUGACAGUGACACUAAUGGCGCUGAGCUCCCCACUGGCUUUGGCUGGGGACUCCCGACCACGUUUCUUGGAGCAGUUUGAGCGUCGUCCCCUCAACGGGACGGAGCGCGCGCGGCUCCUGGUCAGACACACCUACAACCAGGAGGAGUAUGUGGGUUCGACGGCGCCGUGGGGGGCUCCGGCCGGUGACGGAGCUGGGGCGGCCUGACCAACAGUACUACGACAGCCGGGAGGACAUCAUGGAGCAGACACGGGCCGCGGCGGACACUGUGUGCAGACGCGACGACAGGAUUCCUGAGAGGUUCCUGGUGCCACGGAGAGUCCAACCUAAGGUGACUGUGUAUCCUGCAAAGACCCAGCCCCUGCAGCACCACAGCCUCCUGGUCUGCUCCGUGAGUGGGUUCUAUCCAGGCAGCAUUGAAGUCAGGUGGUUCCGGAACGACCAGGAAGAGAAGGCUGGGGUGGUGUCCACAGGCCUGAUCCAGAAUGGAGACUGGACCUUCCAGACCCUGGUGAUGCUGGAAACAGUUCCUCAGAGUGGAGAGGCUUACAUCUGCCAAGUGGAGCACCCAAGCGUGAUGAGCCCUCUCACAGUGCAAUGGAGUGAGCAGCUUUCUGACUUCAUGAAUUUCUCACCCACCAAGGAGAGGACUCUGCUAAUCCCUGAGUGUCAGGUUUCUCCUCUCCCACAUCCUAUUGUCAUUGGCUCCAGGUUCUCAUCUCCAUCAGCACAGGUCACUAGGGGGAGCCCUUUAAUAGUUUCUGGGACAUACCUACUAGCCCCUGGAAAAGCAGUCAUUCCUACCAGGAAGAAGAGGCUGUUGCGCUUUUGA
Sapajus apella (tufted capuchin) is the source of this 942-nucleotide RNA transcript. It is a transcript of the gene named HLA class II histocompatibility antigen, DRB1-10 beta chain-like, with no coding region annotated. Lineage: Eukaryota; Metazoa; Chordata; Mammalia; Primates; Cebidae. The transcript is spliced from 3 exons. The record is from RefSeq and is a predicted model, not a curated record.